Long non-coding RNA from Astyanax mexicanus (Mexican tetra), 1602 nucleotides. RefSeq lists it as uncharacterized. The record is from RefSeq and is a predicted model, not a curated record. The transcript is spliced from 3 exons. Lineage: Eukaryota; Metazoa; Chordata; Actinopteri; Characiformes; Acestrorhamphidae.
UACAUGGAUAUAUUUCAGCAGGUAUGUUUAGUGAAAUUGUAUUUAUUUAGAAUAAUGUUGUUGAAAACAUACGGGUGCACUGGGAGGGUAUUAAACGUCCUGAGCUAUGAGCUCUUGAUGCUUAAAAAGUAGUAAAAACAUGCAAUAAUUAGAGUCAAUGCAAUAGCAUGGCUGUAAAUUAUCAGAUUUUCUUAUACUUAUAGCACCCUCAUAAAAUCUAAUUCAAUCCUUUUCUUCUCUGAGCAGUGAAUAGAACUUAUAAAUAUUGAUUGCCCACGGUAAUUUAUCUUUUGAAUUGUUGUAAACAGUAUAGAGUUCCUUCAAUUAACAUGAUUUCAAUAAUAACAGAGCAGACAUGAUUUAGGUAUGCAAGCCAUGUUCUUUUGUUGGCAUUGUACUCCCUUUGUAAUGCAGUCUUACUUUGACACCCAGGCAGUCUCCAAUUGUUGGCCUCCUCAGGCCGUUGCCUCACUGUUCAAGAAUUUUGGCCUAUGAACAAUUUAAUGAUAUAUUUCAUUUAACCCUGUUAAAAUCCCAGGCAUAUGACACCACUAUGGCUUAAAAUUCAAUAUCUUCAGGGACUUCAGCAACAACUAUAUAAUAUAAAGACCUAGUGUAUUUGUAACUAGGGUCAGGGUUAUUGCACUGCUUCUGGUCAAUAUUUGUAACUGCCAGGUUAACAAGUAAAAAAAUUAAACUUUCAGGUACAUGUCCUACCGAGAGGUGAAGAUGUGAGACCAGUCGGCGGCUCAUAUUGUGGCUGUGACGCUAGAGAAACAAUAUGUCUUCAGUAAGUACACAUCAUGUGUUCGUAUGUGUUUGUAAAUUACAGAAUGUUUAUUUUACUGUAAACCUAUAACCUUGCUUUGAUAGGAGGACAUUGUUCUAAAAUCCACCCACUGACUGCGUAUUGGUGGGUUUGAUGCUGGGGAAAAAAACAUUUAGCACAUUUAUAUGUUUAAUCAGAAUUAACUAAAUAGACGUUAACUCUUUAACUCUGCUUUUUUCUUACAGCAUAUUUCAGUUCAGUAGUGCUUUUAUCUUCAAAAGGUAUCCAUUGGAAUUUGAAAACUGAGUGGUAGCAUCCUCUAUCUUUGUGAAUGUGGGCCUGGAAAGGAGCAUUGUAACCAUUUUUGAAACUUUCAAUAAUGUACAGGCGGUGUCCAAUUGUUGCUGUCCUCAGGCUCUUGCGUCAUUCUGGGAGGACUGUCAACAAAUGAAUGGAAACUGAAGAGGAACAUGAAAGAAGAAGCAUCACAGUUGUUGGAGUGGCAGAGUCUGAUGAUGGCAAUGUUCUCCUUCUAACAAAAGAUCUGGAGGAGCUGAGUGUACCCCCAGGGCUCUUACCUGAAGAGGCUGAUGAGCUAAUUAAAAGGCUGCCAGUGGACCUGUCAGUUACAGCUAAGGGACAACAGGUUACAGAAGUGAAAACACUAGAUCCUGAAAUGUAAAAAACAAAGUUCAAAUGUGAUUGCUCUGUUCUGUCAAAGUUGUUCUGUCAGAAUUAAAGUGUUAAAUCGACAAUUUGAAAUGUACAAAUUUAAAUGAUCAUAUCCUAGAUGGUUUCAGAGGUGUUGCAAGUUGAUUUCUAUGUUAUGUCAG